This is a long non-coding RNA of Pogoniulus pusillus (Red-fronted tinkerbird), 502 nucleotides long. RefSeq lists it as uncharacterized. Lineage: Eukaryota; Metazoa; Chordata; Aves; Piciformes; Lybiidae. The transcript is spliced from 2 exons. The record is from RefSeq and is a predicted model, not a curated record.
AGAGAGCCUGGCUGCGGGGGAAGGAGGAUGAAGAUCUUCGUUUCUCCUUGCUAAAGGAGGAGGCACAGCCUCAGGACUCUGGGAGUUUGCUGCUCAGCUAUUUCAACAUGAGACCUUGGAUCUUCCUUUCCAGGAACUGCUGCAAACUUUGCUGUUUGCUUUGGCUUUUCCCUGGCUUUCUGUCUCCUGGAGCUGUAAAGUUUGACGCGGGAUCUUCUCUACCUCCCCUGCUGCUGCAGAGCCCUCCGUGUGAGCCAAAGGAAUCUCCUCUGCUGCAAGGGCUGUGCUGGUGGCAGUGGUCACCCAGGGUCUUGCACAAGUUGCUUCCCUUCAGAGCCUCCUGCCCAGGAGGAAAAAGUGAUCUUAAUGAGCAUAUUGGCACUCAACCCACAAGCAAACUGACUCGCCCUGAGAAGGAGACUUCUGGCUGCAGAACCUAGGAAGCAGUCUCUUGAAAGUCCAAAUCCCUGAGCCCAGUUCCUGGCUUCUCACAUUUCUGUGU